This 1032-nucleotide long non-coding RNA is filed under the name Mus spicilegus (steppe mouse). RNAcentral's name for it is "lncRNA (ENSMSIG00000031259.1)". Lineage: Eukaryota; Metazoa; Chordata; Mammalia; Rodentia; Muridae. The record is from RNAcentral.
UCUGGAGCAUCUAUUGCAUUCUACAAAUGCAAAGGGCGGUAAGGGACCUCAGGAUAACUCAGACUGCCCUUCUUUCCUAGAAAUAACGGCCACAGUGAUAUUCACUGUAAAGAGAAUUCUUCAGGGUGGAGAACUGCAUCUCUAUGUCACCAUCAACUCCUUCCCGAGGCCAGCAUUGAUCUAUAUCUGCAUCAGAACCAGACCUGGGUUCAUAGGUCAGAACCCACCUCCACAACCGCAACCGCAUGGCAAAAGAAAGCAAGAGAAGUCCCAGGUCUGCUCCUCCUGCUGAACUUCCUAACUCUGGAGAAACUCCAGGCUGAGAAGCUCGGCCAUCAAAUAGUAGCAUGAUGAAUGCCCACAACGGAGGGAAAUGCUAGAAACCUUGGAGGAUUCAUGUGCUCCUUAUAUGGCAAGCUUUUCUCCAUGAUUCCGGUGCAGGACCUGGGGCUCACAAAAGUCAUGGAGCAGUGUCUGCCGUGGGAUUCUGCAUUCCGUUCGGGUGGAACAGAAACCUACUGUUGAAGACCCAUGACAACCAAGCAAGUCCCGUGCAAGGACACGGCUGAGAUCAGUGUGGGGCUUGGAGUUAGCAGGCUCAGAUCUGACGGAGGAUGGUGUGAACACUGUGGUAGUUCUGGCACUGUGCACUUAGUGACACUGCCCUGCCGGAGGAGCAGCACAUGUGAACGUUGUGGAUCACAACCUCAGAAGAGUGGUCGAAGAGAGUUCAUAGACAUCCACAUUCCUGCCAGUCUCUCUAAGCUAAAGUUCAUUUAAAGAGACAGAAACAAACGUGUCUCUCUAUAAAAGGGUCUUGCCUUGUCUGUUCAGGCGGCCCCACCCAUAGACAACAGACAGGCAGAGCUUCAUUCCCUAUUCGCAGAAGAAGGACCAGCCCAAGUGCAGGGCAAUUGACAACCUGGACUGAUCAAUGCUCUGCAGGGUAAGGUGAUCAUGUUCAUCAACUCCAGUCAAUUCUCUGGACUGUCCCUACUUCAGGAAUCAGGCACAUCAUGAAAACAAGCUAGA